Molecule: small RNA, 477 nt
Filed under: Pan troglodytes (chimpanzee)
Lineage: Eukaryota; Metazoa; Chordata; Mammalia; Primates; Hominidae
Description: retained intron
Source: RNAcentral
UGCCCUCCCCCACCCCCUCACCCUGCAGCCUCCCCCCGCCCCACCCCAUCCAGGAAUGGCACGACUACAAGCUGCGCUGGGACCCAGCUGACUAUGAGAAUGUCACCUCCAUCCGCAUCCCCUCUGAGCUCAUCUGGCGGCCGGACAUUGUCCUCUACAACAAGUGAGUCCCCUACAGGGUCUUGGUGGGCAGGAGUGGCCAGGGCCUGCCCCUGCCCAGACAGGGAGCUCCACCAAGGCCCAGCCUGGCCCAGCGGGGCCUAUGCCAGCCCCAUGCAUGCCAGCCCAGGCCCAGGAAGGAAGAAGCAGGAGCAAUGGAGAAAUUGGUGUGGGUUGAGGAGGGAAGGGUCCCCCCAGGCCAGCAAAGAGGCUGAGGGCAUCCCUGGGUCUCAGCACUGGGGCGUCAGAGCCGGAGGGGCCUGAGAGUGGCUGUGGCACCUGGACACAGUGUCCCUGCCUGGACCAGUCCUGAGGCCU